GCCAUGAUAGUAUAGUGGUCAUUAUCUCUCGUUGUGGCCGAGAAGACCCUGGUUCGAUUCCAGGUCAUGGCA
RNAcentral lists this transfer RNA (72 nucleotides) under Umbelopsis ramanniana. RNAcentral describes it as "tRNA-His". It matches the Rfam family "tRNA". From Rfam's summary of the family: Transfer RNA (tRNA) molecules are approximately 80 nucleotides in length. Lineage: Eukaryota; Fungi; Mucoromycota; Umbelopsidomycetes; Umbelopsidales; Umbelopsidaceae. RNAcentral also lists the same sequence under 3 other names. The record is from RNAcentral.